CCACGUUGGUCAGGCUGAUCUCAAACUCCUAGCCUCAAGUGAUCCACCCACCUUCGCCUCCCAAAGCCCUGGGAUUAUAGGUGUGAGCCACCGCGCCCUGCUCAAAUCCUUUCUUUUUAAAUGAAGUAGCCAGUGUGGAUGAAUGUUUAAGAGCACAGGCUUUGAAGCCUGGACCAGCCAGACUUGGGUUGGAAUCCUGGCCUUUUAAAGAGAUUGUAGCCUCUCCAAAACUCAGCUUCCUCCUCAUAGUAGUGAGAAGUAUGUAACCUACUUCAUGGGCUUGUUUUAACGAUGAACACACCUAGCACGCUGCCUGGGCAAGUAGGAGUUAAUCCAUGGUAGCUAUCAUCAUCAAAGUAUAGAUUUCACUAUUUCUUAGCAGUUUUUCUUGGAAAAGGAGACUCUUAUGAUAACCAAAUGAAGUUCAAAUAAAAUUUCCAAAAAAUGGUGAUCCCAAAAAGUAUAAACAAGAAUGCAUGAGCUCUCUGUUCCAUCCCUCUCCUCCAUCCAAAUUAUGGACUGAAGAUUAGAGGGGUCUAGUAUUGGGGAAUCAAUGAAUAUUAACAGUAGAAAAGUGUUUCUGUGACAACUGGAGGGACAGAAAACAAACGCCAUUGUAUUUGUAGUACAGACGAGAUGUGUUCUUAAACUUUCUCUUUGCAGACUCCCUGUUGUAUGUGAGUGUGUUUUUACAUUCUGUUUUUCUGUUGCUGGCAUUAAAUGGUCUUUUUAGGUCAGUUUGGGAUUGACUCCAGGGGCUUCCAGUCAUAAAAAAUCCUUUAGAGAGACUAGGUUUUACUCAAUUGCGAAUUUUUCCGUUCCGACUUAUUAAUAUUGUUAUUUUAUAGGCUUCCUAGGGCUUUUGGGCAUCAUUAAUUAUGUGAAUUCUUCUUUAUCUCAAGCAUAGGAAGACAACAUAUCCCUAGACAGUGAGACAAUCAGUGCCUACUAGAACACGUAAAGCAUCAGGAAAAUCAGAUAUUCAUUUUUCCUGCUUUUUGAUAGGUUUCUCAUUUAAUUUUUCUCACUGCUUGUCUAGAUGACAAAUGUUUUCCAAGCAGCCAAUUCUAAGCCAGGUUGCGUUUUCAGUUCCAGUUUCUCAUUUAGGCUGGAAUUUCCUGGGGUAGAUUUAGCUUUGCUUGAGAGAUCACAUUUAGCCCCUCAGUGAGGUUCCUUUGAUUCCUUUUUUCCCUCAGUCAUUGGACAGAAAUGUGGGUUCUUCUCAUUAAA
Molecule: long non-coding RNA, 1230 nt
Organism: Sapajus apella (tufted capuchin)
Lineage: Eukaryota; Metazoa; Chordata; Mammalia; Primates; Cebidae
Exons: 2
Source: RefSeq, a predicted model, not a curated record